CAGACACACCUGGACCACUGACUUUAAUGUGUGAUUGGGAGCAAAGCCUUGAGGAUGAUGUUUAUAGACAAUUGCCCAGAGAUCGCUUCAUUGGGACUUUUGCAUUUGAAAAGCACCAAGAUUAUGGUUAAGGUGACCCAUUCAUCCGUCACCACGGAGAUCUUUUAGGCAGUGAAAAUCCAAGACUUUCUGCAGAUUGAAAUAACCUUUAAGGCUUUCACCUGACUGUAGAACAGCCAUACAGGUUGCAUCAGGAGGCAGGAGGUUGCGUUGCCAGCUCAAAGCACACCUACAUGGCCAGACAUUAAGAUUCUACAGAAAAUGCUAAAAAUCACGAAUAAUCUGUACCUCAAGUGGGUUUGUUAGAACUGGACAUGUUAGUAGACAGUUUCUGUCAGUUUGUUCUGGUCAGCUGGAAUGUGUGCAAUGUAUCCAGAGCUUUCAGCUGGAUUUGCUGUACAUGGACUGAAUAGCUAGACAGCAUGACUAUGGUAUGUCUAUUCAGCAUUUCCUAACAACAUGGUACUUAUUAGAGAUCUGGGGUACAGCUGAUUUGGAAAAUUGCUGUGAACUUAUCAAGAUUGUUCUGGAUGUGGAUCAGACCUGUUAAAGCUGUUGUGCAGGCUGAGUAUACAGAAAGGCCAGAGAAAAGUGGAGAAAAAUCCAGAAUUUACUUGGGCUCAUUUCCACAGUGAAAAAAUAUAACUUGCCUGGAAUAAUGACUUUCUUCCCUCGAUAUCAGCUUCAACAAUUCCAUCUUGAGAUCAAUUUCAUUUCUCUGAAUUCAUUUUUACCUGCAGUGAAUUGUGUUUCGAUCUACAACUUAGAAAAGAAUAACAAAGAAGCCAGCAAUGAAUUCUGCUGUCUUCCAAACAUUGAAAUGAACAGAGAGCACAUUUCUAUCCUUAUGAAAGAUGUUUUAAUUUAUUUUUUCUUUCUUGUUUGUUAUUUUUGUUUGUUUGUUCUUUUCUUUUUUACUUUUCAGCUUAAACUUCAUUUUUCAGUGGGCAAUACCCAGUGGUAACUCUGUACAUUUUUAAUUGAACAUGAAAGUUGCUAUUCGUUCACACUUCACUACUGAAAGGGGCAAAAGGGAGGCAGCUGAGAAAUUACCGUGUUUAUGAUGCAUUGCUAAUGUGAAAUGCCAUUCUCUAGCAGUUUUCUUAAGCUCUGUGCUUUGUCUGGGCCAUUUCUAAGUUCUUCCAUGGGAUGAGUCCUGUGCUGCUGUAGUGCCAACACCAACUAUGCUUACACUGAGGUAUCUCAGACAUUUGGAAACCUGGAAUUUCCAAAUGCAAACAUUUUUGGGCCUGGAUCUGAUAUGAGUGACCUUCAUAUUUGGGAGGAAAGGGGAAUGGUUAUGGUAGCAGCUUAAGAUGUCAUUUGCAAUUGUACAGGCAUCUGUACUCAAAGUUGUACAUUUGGUUAUUGAUAGGGAAAAUCCAGCCCUCUUAUAAGUGCCCUCUGGAUUUAAUGAGGAGACAAAUCAAGCACAUGCAAGCUGUAGUGCUUAUAGCUUUAGGUGUGUCCUAAAGCAGCAUGGUUGGAAGAAACUACUUCUAAAGGAGCACUGUACAGAGGUCUAGGCUCAGUUACUAAGGCUACAGUAAGUCCUAAGCACUGCCACCUCACUUUAAAGCCCUGAAGCCGAAGAGUUUAUAACUUCUGGUGUAGGAGUAGAGUACCUUUAUGAGGGAUGUGGUGCUACUGCAGCUGAUGCCUGUCUAAAUUGGAGUCAUUGCAGUGCUGGUUUUGGAUCUGAAGCUUCUUUCUGUUUCAGGAAUCAUUGAUAUUCAUGUAACUGGACAGUUACCAGCCACAAACAGGACAGUCUCUUUUUCCUUAGUUUUCUAUAAACUCCUUUUGCUGUCCCACAGCAUAACCAUGUUGGUACCAGUGGAAGCAGAAGGCUGGAGGUUAAGGCUGUUCAUCUUGAAAGGGAAGCCCAAAUUAAAAAGACAGUGGUUGCCUUCUAGAUUGUGACACACUUGAUGCUCUUCUUAUUACAGUGUUGAGUUUGGAGUAGUCAUGAACUUCUGAUCCCCCUCCCCAGUCCAGAGCAUUUCUACUGUACCCCGCCCUGGAAACAAGUGUGGAUGUGGACAGGGACUUGGGGAAGACUGACUUGCCUCUUUGUGUUGCCUGCAAAUUCUGUUCAAGAAGGACAAGUAUUUACUGGGCUCCUGUUAGAAAUGCUUGUUGGAGGUGACGGUGAAAAUUUCACACUUAGUUUGGCAGUGGAUCUCAUGCCUAUUGCCCUUUUGGAAAUGCAGACAUGUUCAAGAAUGAAGUAGCUGUUAUUUUCUUCUCGAGGCAGAAACUGUAAGGCACCUAGCAUCAGCACAGCUAUUUAGGCCAUUCGUGCUGAGCUGCACCGUCCACACAGUGAUAUCACUUUGGGCAGCCUUAUGCAGUAAGGACUGCAAUAAGGUGUGAAAUAAAGAUUUAGUGGCAUAACUUUCCAAAUGCAGUCUCACAAAGGAGUUCAUUACAGUUCCAUUAAAACAGUAGAGUUAACAUUAAAACAGACGAGAAAUGAAAAGAAAAAAUUAAGGUUCCUGCAGCAGCAUUAAGUCAGUCACACUGCCCAACUAACAUUUACUGUUUCUUGCUCUGGGUCAGAUUGUACAACCAUCACUGUUGGCACGGUUGCCUGACUAUAGCCAUAGGAUCUGCAUGUCUUGAAAGCUGUCAGCCCAUAGGAUUAGGAGCUCUGCCUAAGUGGAAGAGACUUUGCUCAGAUUGGUGAACACCAUCCAUCUUUCACAGUCCCCAGCUCACAGUAUGGCUGGGAGGUGUGGAGUGCAAGGAACUUAAUUGGGUCAAACAUUUCAAUUUGUAUCAGAAAGCCAUUUAAAAAGGAAAGUGCUGCUUGUGUAUCUCUGAGGGCAUCCACUUUGCUCCCGUCAGUGCUGGCUCUCCUAUUGAUUUCUAAGUGCUUUCAGUCUUGGCCUCCAGCAGAUCUAGAAGGACACUUCUUUUUCCAGGGAGCCAUGAUUUAUUUUCACAUAAACAUCUUGAUUUGUCUGAAGGUACUGAGGAAUUUUAAUUAUUAUUCUCCCUUGAAAAUAUAGCAGGGAAGAUGUUUUGAAAUGAAGAAAGCAUUCUUUUUGUUUAUUUUCUGAGCUGUGACACAUUUUCAGAGCCAACAUGCAGAAAUGUCAUCAGUUCUGUGUAAAGAUAGGUUGAAAAGAAGU
Molecule: non-coding RNA, 3197 nt
Organism: Coturnix japonica (Japanese quail)
Lineage: Eukaryota; Metazoa; Chordata; Aves; Galliformes; Phasianidae
Source: RefSeq, a predicted model, not a curated record